This is a non-coding RNA of Oryza sativa Japonica Group (Japanese rice), 2115 nucleotides long. The record is from RefSeq and is a predicted model, not a curated record. NCBI's taxonomy places the organism in Eukaryota, Viridiplantae, Streptophyta, Magnoliopsida, Poales, Poaceae.
CUCCUCUCCCUCCCCACGCCGCGUCCUUCGCCCUCCUCCCUGCGUCGCCUCCUUGCCCCGCCGCCGCGUCGCCUCAUCACCAGACCCGCGAUCACCGCCGCCCUCUCCAAUCUACCGCACCGCCAUCGCCGCUCCCUCUCUCUCCCCGCGUCACGCCAACCCCCAAUCCGUCGCCGUCCCCACACCGCGCCGCCGCCCCUCGCCUCUCCACCACGCCGGUCUCCUCUGCGAGCGCUGCCCACGAUUCGCCGCCGUCGCUCACAACUCGUCGCCGCCGGCUCCUCGCCUCUCCGCCGCCGUGACACCGAUGCCCGCCGCUCUACCCUUACUCUCGUUCGCGACGCCACCGAUCUUUGUAUGCCCGCCUCCGUGCCGCCAGAUCGCCGUCGCCUGGAGUCUUCGGGGAACAGCCUCAACGAAAAUCCGAGCACCGUCGUCGACGGCCAUCUCCGCCCAGCGUGCCUGAUCCCUGGAACAGCCUCGCGCGGUGCCAAAACCACAUCCGCCGCCGUCUUGAAGCUGGCCGUCCUCUCGCCAGGUGCCGUCAUUUGCCCCUGAUGUAUGGUUUAGAUACCCACGGACAAAAUCCCACAUGUACUAGCUCACUGCAUCAGCACCAGCUCCGAAGCUCCGAUCUGGCGGCGUCGUCGGCAUCCAGGCAAGACAUCAAGCCUACGCUGCACCAAGUAAGCUACCCGAUCUCUUAUUUUUCUCUUUAAUUUGCUUUCUUCAGCUCCUGUUUUGCCAUCUUUGUAAGAAUAAGAAAUCAUUAGGGGUGGCUGCAGUGGUGCAGGGGACCGAUGUGAUCCAUGCUGUCGCAAUCAGGUUACUAACUAAUAUCUAGCUCGCUGACCAAACAAAUUUGUGUUUUUGUGUAUCAGGCUUGUGCUGUGGAGUUUAAACAUGCUAAAAGUGUUUCAUUGAUUCUUUGAUUGCACCAAUGUGAUAUCCCUGAGUUAUUUGUGGCAUGGGUUUCAUUUUUUUUACUGCAAUCUGUUGGAAUAUAUGGAAAACGGUCCCAUUUCAAUGCCAUUUUUUAAGAUGCAGAAUAGCGUAAUGUAGUAUCUUUAUUGCAAGAAAUGAAUCACACUCUUACAGUAUUUUGAAAAGAUAAGAAUGUUCUCUUCUUGCUGCCUUAAUUUUGGCCUGCAUAUUUGUGUCCACAUGUAUCCCAUUAUUAAAUGGUGUUAUGAUUCCUGAAUUCCUCCGUCUAGCAUAUCCGUUGACAAAUUGGUCAAAUUUAGGCAUGAUUUUGCAUGUUUCAGACCUUCAGUAUAUAUAGUACGGUUAAUCUGAUGCAGAAUAGUCGCUGGAUUUAAAACCAAGUUCUAUCCUAAGUUUACAUCAAAUAGUGGUUAUUUAGAGAAGCGGGUAGACUGAAACAAUACAAUCAAUAUAUCUUACUUGCAAAUUUGACCUCCCUUUAUAGCAUUUGCUUGAUUGUGGCAACAUUUUUAGCUGUAGAAGUACUGGGAAGUAUGGCAGAUUGCCAAGUGGAUAAGCGGACUGCAGAUUGUUUUUUUGCUUCUGCGUAGCAGGCUGAAAAAUUGAGCAUCUCGCAGGUUAGGGGACUCUGCAGCCUUGGUGCUGCAAUUUGUUGAUCAAGGAGCAGCUGAGUAUGCAGGUUAAGGCAAUUUGAGCAUACUCUGCAUAAGAUGAGAGGAAGGCACAGGGGAGGGAGACUGAAAAUGAAGCUCGACGUUAAGAAAAUGGACUUUGAUGAGAGGACGAUGUGGAAAAUGGACUUUGAUGAUAGGGUGAUGCUGAAAAUCGACUUUGAUGUUAAAGAAAAUGGUUGAAAAUGAUAGGAUUUCAAAUGGUUCAAAAUGAUAGGAUUUCUCUGCAUACACUGCAUUUUGAUGGAGUUAUAUUUACAAAGGAUUAGGAUGAAAAAGCAUUCGCACUUUAUUUCCUUCGAUGAGAUAAAAUAGCUAACUGUACUUUAUUUCAGACAUUUGCAUAUGGGUUCAAUUUGUGUUGGAGCAAAGCUGCUAGAUCGUGUGAAUCACCCUGGUAAAUCUGGAGCUUUAUUUUCAGAUGUAUUUACUCUACAAAAACUGUCAGAGAACUAACUCAACUAUCGAUUUUAAUAACAAGAUGCUUUCAGUUUUAUCA